GCCCGGGUGGUGGAAUUGGUAGACACAAGGGACUUAAAAUCCCUCGAAGGCGACUUCGUGCCGGUUCAAGUCCGGCCCCGGGUACCA
Molecule: transfer RNA, 87 nt
Filed under: Flavobacteriaceae bacterium
Lineage: Bacteria; Pseudomonadati; Bacteroidota; Flavobacteriia; Flavobacteriales; Flavobacteriaceae
Also listed under: 4 other names
Description: tRNA-Leu
Rfam family: tRNA
About the family: Transfer RNA (tRNA) molecules are approximately 80 nucleotides in length. Their secondary structure includes four short double-helical elements and three loops (D, anti-codon, and T loops).
Source: RNAcentral